GGUGGCUCAGUGGUAGAGCACUUGCCUUGCAUGCAAGGGCCUGGGGCCCUGGGUUCGAUUCCUCAGCACCA
Molecule: transfer RNA, 71 nt
Filed under: Dipodomys ordii (Ord's kangaroo rat)
Lineage: Eukaryota; Metazoa; Chordata; Mammalia; Rodentia; Heteromyidae
Rfam family: tRNA
About the family: Transfer RNA (tRNA) molecules are approximately 80 nucleotides in length. Their secondary structure includes four short double-helical elements and three loops (D, anti-codon, and T loops). Further hydrogen bonds mediate the characteristic L-shaped molecular structure. tRNAs have two regions of fundamental functional importance: the anti-codon, which is responsible for specific mRNA codon recognition, and the 3' end, to which the tRNAs corresponding amino acid is attached (by aminoacyl-tRNA synthetases). tRNAs cope with the degeneracy of the genetic code in two manners: having more than one tRNA (with a specific anti-codon) for a particular amino acid; and 'wobble' base-pairing, i.e. permitting non-standard base-pairing at the 3rd anti-codon position.
Source: Rfam by way of RNAcentral